AUCUUUGGGGCGGGGUGAGAUUCCCCACCGGCGGUAAAGCCCGCGAGCUCGUUGCUGGAUGAGCAUGAUUCGGUGAGAUUCCGAAGCCGACAGUAAAGUCUGGAUGAGAAAAGAU
RNAcentral lists this non-coding RNA (115 nucleotides) under pig gut metagenome. Its description in RNAcentral is "FMN riboswitch (RFN element)". It matches the Rfam family "FMN riboswitch aptamer (RFN element)". Rfam says of the family: The RFN element is a highly conserved domain that is found frequently in the 5'-untranslated regions of prokaryotic mRNAs that encode for flavin mononucleotide (FMN) biosynthesis and transport proteins. This element is a metabolite-dependent riboswitch that directly binds FMN in the absence of proteins. The record is from RNAcentral.